UGGGGAAUAUUGGGCAAUGGGGGAAACCCUGACCCAGCAACGCCGCGUGGAGGAAGAAGGUUUUCGGAUCGUAAACUCCUGUCCUCAGGGAAGAGCAGAGGACGGUACCUGAGGAGGAAGCCCCGGCUAACUACGUGCCAGCAGCCGCGGUAAUACGUAGGGGGCAAGCGUUGUCCGGAAUGAUUGGGCGUAAAGGGCGCGUAGGCGGCUCGGUAAGUCUGAAGUGAAAGUCCUGCCUUCAAGGUGGGAAUUGCUUUGGAUACUGUCGGGCUUGAGUGCAGGAGAGGUAAGUGGAAUUCCCAGUGUAGCGGUGAAAUGCGUAGAUAUUAGGAGGAACACCAGUGGCGAAGGCGGCUUACUGGACGAUAACUGACGUUGAGGCUCGAAAGCGUGGGGAGC
RNAcentral lists this ribosomal RNA (399 nucleotides) under uncultured bacterium. RNAcentral's name for it is "bacterial SSU rRNA". It matches the Rfam family "Bacterial small subunit ribosomal RNA", at positions 355 to 769 of the family's 1533-position model. The record is from RNAcentral.